Long non-coding RNA from Oreochromis aureus, 253 nucleotides. Lineage: Eukaryota; Metazoa; Chordata; Actinopteri; Cichliformes; Cichlidae. The record is from Ensembl.
GAUCCGUGAGUUAUUAACAAAUCAGCCUGAUCAUUAAUAAGAUCGAUUUCAGUCUUCAGAUGCGCCCGUGCAGAAGUACUUCAGCCCGUCUAUGGUGCAGGAUCCAUGGAAAAAUCUGCAGCCCGUCACCACCAUGGAUGCCGCUGCGGCCAGGCGGAUCACAUGACUGGAAAUAACACAAGUGGUGACCACAUGACAUCACCAGCAAUGAUCAAUAACUGUGAUGAGACGAACUGAAGUUUUUAGUCAGAUG